Molecule: ribosomal RNA, 424 nt
Filed under: uncultured fungus
Lineage: Eukaryota; Fungi
Description: eukaryotic LSU rRNA
Rfam family: Eukaryotic large subunit ribosomal RNA
Source: RNAcentral
GUGACCUCAAAUCAGGUAGGACUACCCGCUGAACUUAAGCAUAUCAAUAAGCGGAGGAAAAGAAACUAACAAGGAUUCCCCUAGUAACUGCGAGUGAAGCGGGAAAAGCUCAAAUUUAAAAUCUGGCGGUCUUAUGGCUGUCCGAGUUGUAAUCUAGAGAAGUGUUAUCCGCGCUGGACCGUGUACAAGUCUCCUGGAAUGGAGCAUCAUAGAGGGUGAGAAUCCCGUCUUUGACAUGGACUGCCAGGGCUUUGUGAUGCGCUCUCAAAGAGUCGAGUUGUUUGGGAAUGCAGCUCAAAAUGGGUGGUAAAUUCCAUCUAAAGCUAAAUAUUGGCGAGAGACCGAUAGCGAACAAGUACCGUGAGGGAAAGAUGAAAAGAACUUGGGAAAGAGAGUUAACAGUACGUGAAAUUGCUGAAGGGGA